Molecule: long non-coding RNA, 658 nt
Organism: Herpailurus yagouaroundi (jaguarundi)
Lineage: Eukaryota; Metazoa; Chordata; Mammalia; Carnivora; Felidae
Exons: 3
Source: RefSeq, a predicted model, not a curated record
GACCCUGGUGUCAGUAUUGCUGGAGAUGUACACAGCAGGGGACGUUGUCUAGGUUCCCGGUCUCCGAGCAACUCUGGAAGGGUCCCUUUUCCAUAGGCACCUGUCGAAAUCCUUCCCUUAUUCUCCAGCUCCAAGGACCCUUCUUCUAAGAAGUUUUAUAAGAUUCUUCAGACACAAUUAACUGUUCCUUUCUCCAAAUUCUUUAGUAUUCAUCAACGUCUUCCGAUAACAGACUGAGAAGUGUCCGUCUUGUGUAUCUACCGCAGACACUAGUAUGUUGCACAGAGUAGUUGUGGGAAGUAAAGGAUCUUUCUAGUCGGGGUCUCUCCUCGCCCUCUGCAGUGCUCAGGGAUUCUGUCACUCUCCUCUCUCCAGGUCGGCUACCAUGCACUGCACCUGGUGUGCUCCUUCCAGGGGGACGGGACAGAAAGCUUCGAUCUCUCCUUCCUUGCUAGCUCCCCCGAUAGACUCUUUGUUGUCAAGGCUGUCUGCUAAUCGUUCCAAGAGAAACAGAUGGAGGGACCCAAUCCAGGAUCCACAUUCAUUUCUCCUUAUUCAUCUCCAAUCUGGGAAAUACUCGGACUCUUUGAAGAAUUGUACCGGCCAGGUUUACUUAUUUAUUUUGAGAGCGAGAGAAAUUGUGAAUGGAGGAGGGGCC